RNAcentral lists this small nuclear RNA (178 nucleotides) under Salvator merianae (Argentine black and white tegu). RNAcentral's name for it is "U2 spliceosomal RNA (ENSSMRG00000010967.1)". The stretch from base 1 to 122 matches the Rfam family "U2 spliceosomal RNA". From Rfam's summary of the family: U2 is a small nuclear RNA (snRNA) component of the spliceosome (involved in pre-mRNA splicing). Lineage: Eukaryota; Metazoa; Chordata; Lepidosauria; Squamata; Teiidae. The record is from RNAcentral.
AUGGCUUCUCGGCCUUUUGGCUAAGAACAAGUGNAGUAUCUGUUCUUAUCAGUUUAAUAUCUAAUAUGUCCUCUAUUUGAGGACUCUAUAUUAAAUGGAUUUUUGGGACUGGGUUAAAAAAAAANNAAAAUAAAAUAAAAUAAAAUGCAUGGAACACACACUGGACCCAGUAUCCCCC